AUCAUUAACGAGUUAGGGUCCCUCGUGGCCCGACCUCCCAACCCUUUGUCUACCUGACCACUGUUGCUUCGGCGAGCCCGUCUGUAAUGGACCGCCGGGGGGUACCUUGAUCGGCCCUCUGGUCCGCGCUCGUCGAUAGCCAAACUUUUAAAAUCUUAACCAAACGUGUCUCAAUCUAAGUAUUAUUUGUUAAAUAAAAGCAAAACUUUCAACAACGGAUCUCUUGGUUCUGGCAUCGAUGAAGAACGCAGCGAAAUGCGAUAAGUAAUGCGAAUUGCAGAAUUUCAGUGAGUCAUCGAAUCUUUGAACGCACAUUGCGCCCUUUGGUAUUCCGAAGGGCAUGCCUGUUCGAGCGUCAUUAUCACCCCUCAAGCCCCCGGCUUGGUGUUGGACGGUUUGGUGGAGGCCCCCUCGCGGGGCCACCGCCCCUCCCAAAGACAAUGACGGCGGCCUCGUUGGACCCCCGGUACACUGAGUUCUUCACGGGACACGUAUCGGACACAUGGGUUUACGGGACACGGUCUGCCUCCCCUCAGGGAGAAUCUUUCUAAGGUUGACCUCGG
RNAcentral lists this ribosomal RNA (563 nucleotides) under Exophiala pisciphila. RNAcentral's name for it is "eukaryotic LSU rRNA". The stretch from base 204 to 358 matches the Rfam family "5.8S ribosomal RNA". Lineage: Eukaryota; Fungi; Ascomycota; Eurotiomycetes; Chaetothyriales; Herpotrichiellaceae. The record is from RNAcentral.